Molecule: ribosomal RNA, 748 nt
Filed under: uncultured bacterium
Lineage: Bacteria
Description: bacterial SSU rRNA
Rfam family: Bacterial small subunit ribosomal RNA
Source: RNAcentral
AGAGUUUGAUCCUGGCUCAGGACGAACGCUGGCGGCGUGCCUAACACAUGCAAGUCGAGCGGGAUCCAUCCAGUAGCAAUACUGGGGAAGAUCUAGCGGCGAACGGGUGAGUAACACGUGAGAAACCUGCCCCGAAGUCUGGGAUAACCCGAGGAAACUCGAGCUAAUACCGGAUGCCCUCCUCUGGUCGCAUGGCCGGUUGAGGAAAGAUUCAUCGCUUCGGGAGGGUCUCGCGGCCUAUCAGCUAGUUGGUGGGGUAACGGCCCACCAAGGCGUCGACGGGUAGCUGGUCUGAGAGGACGAUCAGCCACACUGGGACUGAGACACGGCCCAGACUCCUACGGGAGGCAGCAGUGGGGAAUCUUGCGCAAUGGGCGAAAGCCUGACGCAGCAACGCCGCGUGCGGGAUGAAGGCCCUCGGGUUGUAAACCGCUUUCAGGAGGGACGAAAUUGACGGUACCUCCAGAAGAAGCCCCGGCCAACUACGUGCCAGCAGCCGCGGUAACACGUAGGGGGCAAGCGUUGUCCGGAUUUAUUGGGCGUAAAGAGCUCGUAGGCGGCUUAGUAAGUCGGGUGUGAAACCUCCAGGCUCAACCUGGAGACGCCACCCGAUACUGCUGUGGCUAGAGUCCGGUAGGGGAGCGUGGAAUUCCUGGUGUAGCGGUGAAAUGCGCAGAUAUCAGGAGGAACACCAGCGGGCGAAGGCGGCGCUCNNGGGCGGUACUGACGCUGAGGANCGANAGCGUGG